This 477-nucleotide ribosomal RNA is filed under the name Candidatus Scalindua brodae. RNAcentral's name for it is "bacterial SSU rRNA". It matches the Rfam family "Bacterial small subunit ribosomal RNA", at positions 365 to 832 of the family's 1533-position model. The record is from RNAcentral. RNAcentral also lists the same sequence under 1 other name. Lineage: Bacteria; Pseudomonadati; Planctomycetota; Candidatus Brocadiia; Candidatus Brocadiales; Candidatus Scalinduaceae.
UUCGCAAUGCCCGAAAGGGUGACGAAGCGACGCCGCGUGGGUGAGGAAGGCCUUCGGGUUGUAAAGCCCUGUCAGGAGUUAAGAAAUGUAAGUGCGCUAAUAUCACAUUUAUUUGACGAAGGCUCCAAAGGAAGUCACGGCUAACUCUGUGCCAGCAGCCGCGGUAAUACAGAGGUGGCAAGCGUUGUUCGGAAUUAUUGGGCGUAAAGAGCACGUAGGUGGGUUUGCAAGUCAGAUGUGAAAGCCUCCUGUUCAACGGGAGAAUUGCAUCUGAAACUGCAGAUCUUGAGUGUAGGAGGGGAGAGUGGAACUUCUGGUGGAGCGGUGAAAUGCGUAGAUAUCAGAAGGAACGCCGGCGGCGAAAGCGAUUCUCUGGCCUAUUACUGACACUCAGUGUGCGAAAGCUAGGGGAGCAAACGGGAUUAGAUACCCCGGUAGUCCUAGCCGUAAACGAUGGGCACUAAGUAGAGGGGUUUU